Molecule: long non-coding RNA, 830 nt
Organism: Electrophorus electricus (electric eel)
Lineage: Eukaryota; Metazoa; Chordata; Actinopteri; Gymnotiformes; Gymnotidae
Source: Ensembl
UUAAAGGGGUAUGCGUCUAGAAUUGAAACAAUACUUUUAAGAGUCAAACUUGCAGUAAUAAAGUCACUUAAUUCUGCGCUUCUUUUUCAUUUCAACAGGAAAGCCAUACCACAAAGAUUCAGUGUUACAGAGGAGGAAAUGAGUAAAGAAAAUCGAGAGUUACAGUUCAUCUUUGAGCUGUUGGGAAAAAAUGAAUACAGAGCCAAAAUAAAUGCAACCAUAACAAUAAAAAAAGAGGUGCAAAACACUGAUCUGAAGAUCUUGAGUGUCAAACCAACGAACUGCACAUUGUCCUUUUUGGAGAGCACCUACACCAUUGCCUGUAUUCUGACAGACCCACAAGUGAUUACCAUUAACACAGAGACCUAUAUCCGCGAUAUUCAGGGCAACAAUGAAAAGAUCAUUGCCACAGCACAACUCACCUUCGAUGAGAAUGUCUACGAAGGAAUAGACAUCUUGAAGAAGGAGGUAGUGGUGAUACUUUCUAAGAUGACAGUGGUGAAAUCAAUCGCUCCUAUUAUAUGUGGUUCCAUUGGAGGCCUUGUCUUUCUAAUCAUUCUGAUCAUUAUUCUUAUAAAGUGUGGGUUCUUCCGUCGGCGUCAUAAACUUGAGCGUGUCGGGAGUUCACACCAAUGACUUACACGGGAUCACAGCAACUAGACGUCCUUCAUCUGUAAACCGAUGUAUUGUAUUAUUAUAAACACUGGUGGUUAAAUUAGGUAUGUUUUUAUAUUUAAGAUUUCAUUUCUUUUUUAAUACCAUAUUUCAUAUUUAUGGAGUAAAAUGUGAAAUUGCAAUUUCGAGGUUUAUUAAAAUAUCCUGGGAUAUUU